GCAGAUAUAGUUUAAUGGUAGAAUAUAAGCUUCCCAAGCUUAGGGUGUGGGUUCGAUCCCCAUUAUCUGCUCCA
This 74-nucleotide transfer RNA is filed under the name Bacilli bacterium. Its description in RNAcentral is "tRNA-Gly". It matches the Rfam family "tRNA". Rfam says of the family: Transfer RNA (tRNA) molecules are approximately 80 nucleotides in length. Their secondary structure includes four short double-helical elements and three loops (D, anti-codon, and T loops). Lineage: Bacteria; Bacillati; Bacillota; Bacilli. The record is from RNAcentral.